CCCGCUUUCGUCUAGUGGUCAGGACACCGGGUUGUGGACCCGGGAACGCUCGGUUCGAUUCCGACAGGCGGGACCA
This 76-nucleotide transfer RNA is filed under the name Bradyrhizobium sp. RNAcentral's name for it is "tRNA-His(gtg)". It matches the Rfam family "tRNA". Rfam says of the family: Transfer RNA (tRNA) molecules are approximately 80 nucleotides in length. Their secondary structure includes four short double-helical elements and three loops (D, anti-codon, and T loops). Lineage: Bacteria; Pseudomonadati; Pseudomonadota; Alphaproteobacteria; Hyphomicrobiales; Nitrobacteraceae. The record is from RNAcentral. RNAcentral also lists the same sequence under 2 other names.